GCUGAUGUAACGUCAGAAGUUUGUAUUUUAGGGUCUAAUACCCUCUCAAAAUGAAAACUAGUUCAUUUUUACCCAAUCAGACAAUUAUACCGAGCAAGAGAACGCGGUCAAGUUCGGACACUAAAACCUUUCAACCACUUUUUCGAAUCCUCUGAUCCUAUUGGACUAAACCCACGAGGAAAUGAUCGACAUCUUCCUCAGCUACUCAGAAGCCAAAAUGGGUAGCGGCUUAGACGAGUGAGGAUUGGCUGAACUCCCGCCUCCUCCUCCGCACCUGAAACCUGCGCGGAAAGCUCUCAUACAGCGAGGCUGCACACUGCUCCCAAAGAAAACAUGUCGUUCAAAAAGUCAAAGGGCCGGACCGGUUUUCAAGGCGGCUUCACAUCUGGAGAAUCUGCAUCUGUUGACAGGCGAGUGGGAGAUGGAGCCAGGUGUUUGGCAGCAGCGGAGUGUUCAGGUGUAACUGUGCCGGUGACAGGACAUGACGAGCAGCCGCAGAUGAAGGAUGAGGCGUGGAGGAUUUUGGGGAGAGGGGCACCCCUCGACCUCCUCCCUCUAGAAUACCCCCGCUGGCGGAGGGGAGAGACGACGGAGUGCUUCAUAUGCAGGGAGGCUGAACUUCAAGCCCGUGACCCGCUGAGGCAUUUCUGCGACUGCAAGAAUUUACUUGCCCAUCACGUGUGUCUGUCCACGUGGAUCCUGAAGGGAUGCGAGAGCGGAAACCGGCUGCGCUGCAUUAUCUGCAAAGCCAAGUACCAGCUGCAGAGGACCUCUCCAUGGCGCUCGGUGAGCUCCCAGUGGCAGACGUGGCUGAUGCUGAUCACCGGCUUGGCUUUAAUGGGUCUGGUACCUUAUGUAGUUCACUGCAUGAUGACUGCCUUCACCAGGCCUCCUCCGCCCACCACCUUCAAAGUGGCAGCCGCUGCUUAUGGUCUGCUGGCAGAGAUCCUGCUGAUCAAGUGUCUGUGCAGCUACCUCAGCGGCUGUUACCGGCGGGCGGAGCAAAGCGCGUUCACGAUCCGGGCCAGAGGCCCCGAGGAGCACGGGACGAGCCUGGCCUGCUGAAAGCGGUCCGAGGCCUCAGCAGAGGCAGGCCGCGCUUCACCGGAGGGGGAAAGUGGACGAAAGGAAAGAGGGGACGUCUCGGCUUCUUCUGGACCAGUAACCAGGAAACGGGUUGAGAGUAAAUCCUGUGGAUGGUACCCACGGACAACAGCUUCGCCGUGGCAGUCACGAGAUCGAACACUUUAAAACCUAUUUUAGAGGCAAACACAUUCACAUUCCAUCGGUAUGUUUUUCACUUAUUGCAAAUUGACCAAAAAGAAGCUAAUGCAUGCAGCUUGCUCGAGUGUGCUUGAGGGAAAAGGGAAGCAAAACCGCCUGGAAUCACUCUCUUUCCUCAGCGAUGUCCACACAGAGACAAUGGGGCGCCGCUCUGAUUAGUGUCACCUGUCCUUGUGCAUCUCAUCAGCGCCGUAAUGGCUCCAUCUCCCGUGCUUCUGCAGCUAAUUGAAUGGCCUGUGAAGUGGUUUGACGAGGACGGGGCGAGAGCAACGUCUGUCCAGCUGCUACUUCAGAAACGAGUGAAGCUUCCCAGCGAAAGAUUACCGUAGUCCUUAAAACGUGAACCAUUGCCGCGGAGAUGGAGGAGGGGCCGACAAGUAGCCCUCCUGUUGUAGAAGCCUCAUUUUGUCCAUGGGUCACAGUAAUAAAUAAAAGCUUUUAUUUAGCACAUACUGUAUGUUUUUCAUGUGGGGGCAGGGGGUUAUUGUUAGAGUAACGAAAUUCCAGCGGCACAGAAACUCAGGUGGCGGCUUUUGAACACCUGCUGUCUCUCAGACACACGCCGUCGAGAAGGAACAAAAAGGGCUCUCGAUCUCUCGAGGUUCUACAACGAGCAGACAUGCAGGAUCGUAGAUCGGCUCAAUCUGGAACACGCAUGUAUCUUUGUGGGCAACAUCUUGGAGACAGUUUGGACCGAUCACUGUGCCACAUGCAACAUGUUAUUCCCCCUUUGGCUGGAUUAGUGACGCCGGCGAAACGGGUCAGCAGAGCCGCUCGUAGUGAGUGUGGUCUUGUAACGUGAGGCCUGUUGGAGUCUUACAUCGACGGCAUGAAGGGUCACCUCCUUUAUUAAAAGUUCCGUGAUAGAUGAGGCGUGGAAGACCGAAAAAUGGAGAUCAAAAGAGUUCUUCAUGUGGGAGGUAAAAAAGCCUUUUGCACCGUUGACAACGAACAGAGAAAAACCACAAAGAGAAAUAUAUCAUUGUUGUGACAACAGGGUAGAUGAGACCAGCACGGGGAAGCUAACGUGUACUAAUGGUGGUGGGAGGGUUGGGGGGGGGGAGAAUACUCUGUCAGUAACAGAGCGUCCUUUGCUAAUGAGCUAAAUGUUUAUUACAGUCGGUUUGACUCUGUGGGGCCAGUGUGGGCCAGUGUGAAGCCAGAAGAAGGCCACUGGCCCAGACGGACUACAGGCACAUGUCCUUAAAGACCCAAUUAAAAAGAGUCUUUACAAGGUUAUUCCAGUACUUGUUAAAAAGACGCACAGUGCCUAAAAUCAGGGGAUCAUUAUGUCCGUGCCCAUAAAGCCAAACGCGUGUGUACUGAAUGACCAGCUCCGCCCCAAGGAGAGCGUUCUAACUCCCUCUGCGCUGCAGAUGAUACUCUAGAUACGAGCUGUAUUACAUUUGUUCAGCUUCUACCUCUAUGCAGAGAGUCUCCAUCCGUGUAACAAUGUCCGGUCGCACAGGUACUCCUGGCGAUGCCCCCCCCCCCCCCCGCACGCACGAAUGAAUUCAAGGGUUUGUCUUCAGAUAUGCGGAUUUGGGACGUGGCCCAAACACUCCAAAGUAGCAAUUGAAGGUGGUCGAUGAGACUGCAGAUGUGAUCAUUUGGGCCGUUGGGAGUUUGAACGUUUCAGGGGUCUCGGCACGCUUGUGGACUCCCAGUUUCACGGAAAAUACAAAGUAUAUUUUGAAGAAAUCAGAAAACCCUGAUUGAAAACGUUUUAACAUUCCACUCGACUUGACUUGUGUCACCUGCACUGCAGGCUGAUGAACGAGCGAGCAGGACCGGUUGGCGUAGUGAGCGUUAUGAUUGAGAAGCCGAGUGAGCUGUGGACCCUCCGGGAGCGCAGAGAAAGCCCUCAUUUUCUGACAGCGCUUUAUUUUCUCCAGCAACCAAACAUCCCUUUUAAAAGGCCUUUUAUUCCAAGUGCAAUCAGCACUUUAAACAUUUCUUCUAGAUGUUAUUCGUCUGAUGUUCUUGUGUUUUGGUACGUCAGUUUCACUCUGUCAGCUCCCAACACCGUACCUCAUAGAGGUCACCGAUAUGCAGGUUUUUAUUUUGGGCGGUGGGACUAGUUUUGAAGAAUCUCAAUGUCUUUGUGCUUUUGGACUAUUUUCAGUUGUGAAUUAAUAGGCUUUUGGUGUUCUUAUUGAGUAUCAGGGGCAUCAGGAGAGCAUAUGAGGGAUUGACUAAUUACAAUCUGCAGUGCUUUUUUUUAUGGUAAGAAUCCACAUCCACUAGAAGAGUGGAUACAAAGAUAAACACACUAUUUAGGCCUUUUCGUGGGUUUGUUGAGUACAGCAGGCUUGUUAAAGGACACAUAUUCAUACUUUUGGAGAUCAGGGUCAAGACUUUUACCCUUUUCAUUAAAGGUCGACGCCUUCGAUUUCUCCUUGAGCCAAUUGUCCAUUGGAGUGCAAACACAAGCGAUCGGGCCACAUCUUCAAAACCCUUUGGUUAAUGGUCAUGUUUUUACUGCAUGCUUUCGGUUAUUGAGUUGUUCUGUGCAAAAUUAACGCUGAUAAAAAUAUCCUGAUGGAAUCAUCUGACUUCUUUGCCCCCAAGAGACAUAGAAAAGUGUUCUCCUCAAUGCAUAAUGUUAUCCUUCAAUGUACUGCAACAAAUGCUCCUCUAUAAAACAAUUGCAUGUAGAAUUAAAUAAAUGUCAGUAUGGAAAAACGGAGUCUGCCUCUCUAUCUGAUGUUUGCACUGAGUCAUCUUCUAUCUGUGUUUGGUCAAGCGACGGU
Long non-coding RNA from Gasterosteus aculeatus aculeatus (three-spined stickleback), 4037 nucleotides. Lineage: Eukaryota; Metazoa; Chordata; Actinopteri; Perciformes; Gasterosteidae. The record is from Ensembl.